CACGGUAGGGAAUCACGUGACUUUUACGGUUACGCGUACAGACAAUAUGGCGGCCUAAAAACCUCGCUUCACAUGUGUUUUUCAGUUUGCAGAUAUGGACGGUUCCAGCUCGGAUAUUGUUUGUGGAUAAUGUUGGACAACAUUUGUCUUAAUGACCACAUAAACUGGCUACUCGGCACAGGACCUUGUAAAUGUUGUGGCAAGUCGAAACGUGACAGAUCCUGGUCCUGGCUGAAAUUAAGAGUAUUACAGCUGUAGCUUCUAUACCAUAAAUUUAACAUGGAAAGGACUGUUCUUGUGAAAAUGCUGACGUAACUGAUGGGAGCAGUUUUUCUUACCAAUCAUAGAAGCAGUAGAAGUAUUCAAACACCAUCAUGAAACACUUAAGACAUACCCAGAGUGCUCUAGAAGAAGUACUAGUGGUAGAUUGGAACAGAUUGUAGCUUAAUUGUUAAACUAAAAGGACUUCUUAAAUCGUUUGAAUUUAAGCUACACUUGAACUGUAGUUUUGAAAUAAAAUAGCUGAAGUAUUUAAAA
Long non-coding RNA from Ruditapes philippinarum (Manila clam), 537 nucleotides. RefSeq lists it as uncharacterized. NCBI's taxonomy places the organism in Eukaryota, Metazoa, Mollusca, Bivalvia, Venerida, Veneridae. The record is from RefSeq and is a predicted model, not a curated record. The transcript has 4 exons.